UACAGAGGGCCCGAGCGUUGUUCGGAUUCAUUGGGCGUAAAGGGUGCGUAGGUGGCUAGGUAAGUUGGAUGUGAAAUCCUGGGGCUUAACCUCAGAAUUGCAUUCAAUACUGCUUAGCUAGAGAGCUGUAGAGGAGACUGGAAUUUACGGUGUAGCAGUGAAAUGCGUAGAUAUCGUAAGGAACGCCAGUGGCGAAAGCGAGUCUCUGGGCAGCAUCUGACACUGAGGCACGAAGGCCAGGGGAGCAAACGGG
RNAcentral lists this ribosomal RNA (253 nucleotides) under uncultured bacterium. RNAcentral describes it as "partial 16S ribosomal RNA". It matches the Rfam family "Bacterial small subunit ribosomal RNA", at positions 524 to 776 of the family's 1533-position model. The record is from RNAcentral.